Molecule: non-coding RNA, 23 nt
Filed under: Bombyx mori (domestic silkworm)
Lineage: Eukaryota; Metazoa; Arthropoda; Insecta; Lepidoptera; Bombycidae
Also listed under: 3 other names
Source: RNAcentral
UUAACCGAAAGGUUGGUGGUUCG